RNAcentral lists this non-coding RNA (291 nucleotides) under human gut metagenome. The record is from RNAcentral.
UUAACGGGAAGAAAUCGAUUCCCUCUCUCGGUUUAUCAGAUGCGGUUGCUGUAGAAAGCACUACCGUAUCACCAUAGUGCAUAAAUGCUGCACCGUUCGCCUGUUUUGCAACUCUGCCGAUAUCAACAGUUAAAGUUCUGCCGGCAAGUUCCAUAGAAAAACUCUUGUACAUACGUCUAUUCUCCUUUAAAUUAGAAUUUUGUUCUGCGGAAGAUGCCGAAACUACUGAAAAAGACACGAAUGCUCAUGCCCUUUUCAGCGGUCUCGGGACAAAUCUUCCACAUGAAUUGC